CAGGGAGACAAAACUGAUUUUGAUGUCUAAAUAAAUUGAUUUUUAGACCAAAAUCCUGUCACCUUAGGUCGAUCGGUACCUCAAUUUGAUAAUCAAUUACUGAGAGAUUAGUUGUUGAUAAGCAUCAGAUUCAGUUCCUAAACUUUGUCUAGGUCACACCCCGCAAGGGUACUCCUGGGCCAUUAGCUCAGGUGGUUAGAGCGCACCCCUGAUAAGGGUGAGGUCCCUGGUUCAAGUCCAGGAUGGCCCAUUCGGUGUUGGGGGUAUAGCUCAGUUGGUAGAGCGCCUGCUUUGCAAGCAGGAUGUCAGCGGUUCGAGUCCGCUUACCUCCACUGAUCUACCACCUGAUAGCGAAGUCCAAGGAGAUUCUUCAAAAAGUGAUCUAGAGUUUGUUCUCUAAGAAAAAACGAACCUAGCUUCUUGUCAUCUUUUAUUUUGAAACUAAUUUCCAAGUAAUAGUUGAUAGGACGCUGGGCUCCCUGCAAUUUUAAUUGCAGUGAUUUUCAGCAGAACCUUGACAACUGCAUAGGUGAGUCUAGAAAGAAUAAAAGCAUCUCAUAGAUGCAUUAUUCUUAAAUGAAAUAUAGUAUUCUGAUUUGAAAAAUAAUCAGAAUUACUUAAUUCAGUUUAAGUUUUAAUGCUUGAUUCUUGAGUAAGAGCCGAGACUCUAAACGUACUUUCAUCAUAAAUUGAGAGUUAGAUUUUUGAUUUUAUCUCUAUUUCAUAUAUGUAAAAUCAAAAAGAAAGGUGUUGACAACACUAUUGCGUUUAGAGAUUUAAAU
RNAcentral lists this transfer RNA (782 nucleotides) under uncultured cyanobacterium. RNAcentral describes it as "partial 16S-23S ribosomal RNA intergenic spacer". The stretch from base 260 to 332 matches the Rfam family "tRNA". Lineage: Bacteria; Bacillati; Cyanobacteriota. The record is from RNAcentral.